GACGAACGCUGGCGGCGUGCUUAACACAUGCAAGUCGAACGGAAAGGCCCUGCUUUUGUGGGGUGCUCGAGUGGCGAACGGGUGAGUAACACGUGAGUAACCUGCCCUUGACUUUGGGAUAACUUCAGGAAACUGGGGCUAAUACCGGAUAGGAGCUCCUGCUGCAUGGUGGGGGUUGGAAAGUUUCGGCGGUUGGGGAUGGACUCGCGGCUUAUCAGCUUGUUGGUGGGGUAGUGGCUUACCAAGGCUUUGACGGGUAGCCGGCCUGAGAGGGUGACCGGCCACAUUGGGACUGAGAUACGGCCCAGACUCCUACGGGAGGCAGCAGUGGGGAAUAUUGCACAAUGGGCGGAAGCCGGAGGCAGCAACGCCGCGUGCGGGAUGACGGCCCUCGGGUUGUAAACCGCUUUCGCCUGUGACGAAGCGUGAGUGACGGUAAUGGGUAAAGAAGCACCGGCUAACUACGU
Molecule: ribosomal RNA, 467 nt
Filed under: uncultured bacterium
Lineage: Bacteria
Description: partial 16S ribosomal RNA
Rfam family: Bacterial small subunit ribosomal RNA
Source: RNAcentral